RNAcentral lists this ribosomal RNA (468 nucleotides) under uncultured bacterium. RNAcentral describes it as "partial 16S ribosomal RNA". It matches the Rfam family "Bacterial small subunit ribosomal RNA", at positions 28 to 507 of the family's 1533-position model. The record is from RNAcentral.
GACGAACGCUGGCGGCGUGCUUAACACAUGCAAGUCGAACGGACAGGCUCCAGCUUUCUGGCGUGGAUCAGUGGCGAACGGGUGAGUAACACGUGAGCAACCUGCCCCUGACUCUGGGAUAAGCGCUGGAAACGGCGGCUCAUACUGGAUAUGAGAUGUUUCCGCAUGGGGACCUUCUGUAAAGUUCGUCGGUUGGGGAUGGGCUCGCGGCCUAUCCGCUUGUUGGGGAGGUAGUGACGGACCACGGCUACGAGGGCUAGCCGGCCUGGGAGGGCGGACGGGCACAAGGGGACUGAGAGACGGCGCAGAAUGCUACGGGAGGCAGCAGGGGGGAAUAUUGCACAAUGGGCGAAAGUCUGAUGCAGCGACGCUGCGUGCGGGAUGCCGGCCUUCGGGGUGUAAACCUCUUUCAGCGGGGAAGAAGCGAAAGUGACGGUACCUGAAGAAGAAGCACCGGCUAACUACGUG